UAUCUGGAAAUGAACGCACUUUUAUUUAAUUCGUGGGUCAAAGACAAAAUCACAAAAGAAGUACAAAAACAUUUAGAAUUGAAUGAUAACAAUAAUACAACAUAUGAAAAUUUGUGGAAUGCAGCUAAAGGAGUGCUUUUAGGGAAACUUAAAGCUUUAAGUAUUUGGAUUAGAAAAGAAGAAAGAUCUGAAAUCAGUGAUGUAAGUUACACCUUAAGUAACUAGAAGAAGAAGAGCAGGAACAAAGUAAGCUAAAGGAAGGAAAGAAAGACGAGAAAUCAGCUAACUAGAAAACAGGCAGCAGCAGAGAAAACUAACAAGGCAAAACUUUGUUCUUUGGUAACUUGACAAACCUCAAAGCUGACUAAUCAAGAUAAAAAUAGGGGGCCGGCCCCAGGACCCAGUGGUGAAGUUCAUGUGUUCUGCUAUGGAGGUUCCCCGUUCACUGGUUCGAAUUCUGGGCACAGAAUUACUCACCACUCAUCAGGCUAUACUGUGGCUGCAGCCCAUGGAGAAGAACUAGAAUAACCUACAACUAGGAUAUACACCUAUGUACUGGGGCUCUGGGGAAGGAAAAAAAAAGAGGGAGAUUGGCAACAGGUGUUAGCUGAGGGCCAAUCUUCCUCACCAAAAGAAAAAGAAAAAGAAAAAGAGAACAAAAAUCACCGUAUUAGGAAUGAAAAAGGGAUUACUACCACAGAUACUACAGACAUUAAAAGGAUAAUGAGAGAAUGCUAUGAACAACUCUAUGUCAACUUCGAUGAAACGGACAAAUUUGUUUUGUUAAAUUUCAACUUAAAUUAAAACAAAACGAUAAAAUGGAAAAAAGAAAAAGAAAUUUAGGGACAAAUAUUACUUGGGACUACAGAGGCAAAAAUCUUUUAGCAAAACAAACUAAUAGGAUAUAAGUUUAAUAUACAAAACUGUCACCAAAUAUGUUAUAUAUAAGCAACAAAUAAUUGGAAAUACAAUUUAAAUAUCAUUCCAAGUACACUAGUGCCAGAAAUCAUCAAAUUCUUAGGAAUAAAUCUUAGAAACAAUGUCUCAGACCUCAGAAAACCAAGACACUGAAAACCAAGAAACGCUGCUGAGAGGAAGAAGCACAAAUAAAUGCACCCCCUUUUCCUAGAUAGUGAGGCUCAACGUUGCUAAGAUGGCAAUUCUCCCCAAAUUGAUCCAUAGAUCCAACAAAAUUCCAAACAAAAUUCUAGGAGGCUUUUGGUAGAAAUUGAUGAGCUGAUUUAAAAAAUUUAUAUGCAAACAUAAAAGACCUAAAAAAUAUUUAAAAUAACCAAAGCAAUUUUUAGAAAGAUGAACAAAGUUAACUUAUUUUUAGGUAAAGCAAAAAAAGCUGAGAUAAUUAGUCGUGUUUCUGAACAGUUACACUUGCAAAAUUUCCAUUGAUUUUCUUCCCAUGAUUCACUAAACAGAGGCAUAUGUAACCACUUUGGGAAUAGACAGGAGAAUUGGGGGGGAAAGUAGAAAGUCAAACACUGGCUUCCUUCACAGGAGCCUCAGAGGAAAUGCCCUUUUAGAGCAGGUUCUAGACUGGAGGUGAGACACACAGAAGAGGAGGUCACAGAAGCAUCGGGGAGAGGAAGAGAGCUCUGGUCCAUCAUAGGUAAAGAAGGGCCACAUGGAGCAGCAGGCCUUGGAAAGAGGUUUAGGGCCAAGUCUGAGAGAAAAAAACCCAGGCAGAGCUUGGUCUUCAAGGUCAGAUUCAAAGGGAAACUGCCCUUCCAUUAUGUCUCAGUCUUUUUUCCUACCUUCUCUCCCCCAAGCCUCGUGGUCCCUAAACGUCCCAGAAAGCGCUGGGCCAAGGUAAAGCAUUUAGAGUUCCAGAAAAAUUUCACCUCCCCAUCGGAACCCCUUAAGCUGCGGGGAGGGUUUCCUGAUCGAUGCCUUGCUCUCUCCCGUCCUUAGGGACAGUGCUGUGGACACAUCCCCAGCCUCAGAGGAGGUCCAGGGAGGCUGGCCCUGGUGCCUGCACCAAGCGGCAUCUCCUUCCAGUUCUCCAGAGAUCUAUGGAGUGAUUCCAGGCACGUGCUCUCCAGGUAGGUCUGGAAGCUCACUGCCAACCAGGUUGGCUUCCACUCUCGGGUCCCGCCUCUGCUCCAGAGCGAGGGUCCCUGUUCUGGAAUCUGCUCAGAGGUAGGCAGGCAGCUCACAUCCGCGCACAGGCUCCGAUUCCAGAUCCCCGGGCACCCGCCGCGCUGAACUCAGGCAGGAGGUGUGAGACCCUGGCCCCCCGCACCGCGGGAUCCUGGCUCCAAGACAGUAAUGAGCCAGAGCAGCUGUCAGAAUCCCUUACCCUAUGCAGGACCGACAAAGGGCUCAGAGAAGCUUUUAACUGAGCCUUCUCGUCAAAGUCUUUGGUAUUCCCCUGUGCAUUGUGCUUCUAGAAAGACUCUUUCCCCCACAGAGCCUGAGGACAGACAGGAAGCACCGUUGGAAAACGGAAGGUGGUGGGAUGAAGGCUUCUUCUUUAAUUCUGGGUACCACUAAUGGCUGAAGGCAUUGGAUAGUGGUUCACGGCUACAGAAAAGAGUUGUGGACAGAAGAGAUGGAAACCUCAGAGACAGAGCAGGCAUCCAGAGGUCUCCUCUCCUCCAGUCCCUGCCCCACCGACGAGCCAGAGCCUUGCAGAGUCCUGGGCUGCUCAGAAGGCUGCUUCUUCUUCCUCACAUUGAUGCC
RNAcentral lists this long non-coding RNA (2694 nucleotides) under Equus caballus (horse). RNAcentral describes it as "lncRNA (ENSECAG00000059826.1)". The record is from RNAcentral. Lineage: Eukaryota; Metazoa; Chordata; Mammalia; Perissodactyla; Equidae.